This 892-nucleotide long non-coding RNA is filed under the name Triticum aestivum (bread wheat). RNAcentral describes it as "long non-coding RNA (TAES_LNC028207)". The record is from RNAcentral. Lineage: Eukaryota; Viridiplantae; Streptophyta; Magnoliopsida; Poales; Poaceae.
CAUUAGCUUCUCCAAGCACAGAAGUAACACACGCACCCUUCCUUCCUUCAGGCUUCAACUAUGGCUCUCGUCAGGAACUUGGCUGCGCUCCUGUGCGUGGUGCUCGCCUCGCUUGCGUUCGUCGCACAGGCCGUGCUUGCCGCCAGAGGUAUGUAUCAACUCUCGACCCCCUCUCUUUUUUGUUCGAAAAUAGUGAUUUUUUUCGAAUGUCUAAGGUGAUGUCCCGCAUGUCUAAUGCUGCAGGUGAUUUAAGCAACGUGAAGCGAGACGGUGUGAGGGGAACCUGGGCGUCCCCUUCCUACCAGGUGCGGCCGGGGCCGCUCCCGCGCUAUCCUCCGAAGUAGGAUGGAAGCAAUCUAUGCCAAGAACGGGAAUACAAGUAUGCCGCUCAAGAGUAAUUUAGUUAUUUGUCACUGAGCACUGAGCGUUCGCUGCCGAUAUAAAGAUACCGAAAUGCACGAUUGUAUUUGUAUGUUACUCCAUGCGUCUCAUGAUAUAAGAUGUUAUUACAAUCGUAUGCGAAUAAACAACAAGGAGCAACCUGUGUGCCUUGCUGUGUGUCCCAUGUCCGGAGACUGUCCGGUGCUGAGUCUAUUUGGGUCAUGUUCAAGCUAUUACUUAUUAGAAUCAUGACAUGAAACCUGUCUUUGCGUUGUUUUUUUACCACUACUUGUACCUUGAAUGAGCAGUACAAGGAGAAAAGGCUCAAUGAAUUUACGCGGUCUCUCCACCCGUGUGUUCAAUGCUUUCCCUCGUGAGCACAAACGCCGGUUUUCAUAGUGUUUGUGUGAGCCGACUCUCGCUUUCUAAUUUUGGAGAUCUAAAUCUCAUCCAAGAAGCUGAGAUUUGCCAACGGGUCCUUUUGAGACUUCCAUCACAAACCGGUCCGAGG